UGAUUAGACAUUCCCGUUUCUCGCGA
Molecule: non-coding RNA, 26 nt
Filed under: Drosophila melanogaster (fruit fly)
Lineage: Eukaryota; Metazoa; Arthropoda; Insecta; Diptera; Drosophilidae
Source: RNAcentral